RNAcentral lists this ribosomal RNA (494 nucleotides) under uncultured bacterium. RNAcentral's name for it is "partial 16S ribosomal RNA". It matches the Rfam family "Bacterial small subunit ribosomal RNA", at positions 28 to 507 of the family's 1533-position model. The record is from RNAcentral.
GACGAACGCUGGCGGCGUGCUUAACACAUGCAAGUCGAACGGUGAAGCGCCUUCCUUUUUGGUGGGUGUGGAUGAGUGGCGAACGGGUGAGUAACACGUGAGUAACCUGCCCCCUUCUUCUGGAUAACCGCAUGAAAGUGUGGCUAAUACGGGAUAUUCUGGGUCUGUCGCAUGAUGGGUCUGGGAAAGAUAUUGUUUCGGUGGGGGAUGGGCUCGCGGCCUAUCAGCUUGUUGGUGGGGUGAUGGCCUACCAAGGCGGUGACGGGUAGCCGGCCUGAGAGGGUGGACGGUCACACUGGUACUGAGACACGGCCCAGACUCCUACGGGAGGCAGCAGUGGGGAAUAUUGCACAAUGGGCGCAAGCCUGAUGCAGCGACGCCGCGUGAGGGAUGGAGGCCUUCGGGUUGUGAACCUCUUUCGCCAGUGAAGCAGGCCUGCCUCGUUUGUGGGUGGGUUGACGGUAGCUGGAGAAGAAGCGCCGGCUAACUACGUG